CCUACGGGUGGCAGCAGUGGGGAAUAUUGCACAAUGGGGGAAACCCUGAUGCAGCGACGCCGCGUGAGCGAAGAAGUAUCUCGGUACGUAAAGCUCUAUCAGCAGGGAAGAACAUGACGGUACCUGACUAAGAAGCCCCGGCUAACUACGUGCCAGCAGCCGCGGUAAUACGUAGGGGGCAAGCGUUAUCCGGAUUUACUGGGGGAAAAGGGAGCGUAGACGGGAGCACAAGUCUGGAAGGAAAUCCCGGGGCUUAACCCCGGAACUGCUUUGGAAACUGGGCGGCUGGAGUGCAGGAGGGGUAAGCGGAAUUCCAAGUGAAGCGGUGAAAUGCGUAGAUAUAAGGAGGAACACCGGAGGCGAAGGCAGCUUACUGGACUGAAACUGACGUUGAGGGUCGAAAGCGUGGGGAGCAAACAGGAUUAGAUACCCUUGUAGUC
This 440-nucleotide ribosomal RNA is filed under the name uncultured bacterium. Its description in RNAcentral is "partial 16S ribosomal RNA". It matches the Rfam family "Bacterial small subunit ribosomal RNA", at positions 338 to 795 of the family's 1533-position model. The record is from RNAcentral.